Molecule: long non-coding RNA, 496 nt
Filed under: Equus caballus (horse)
Lineage: Eukaryota; Metazoa; Chordata; Mammalia; Perissodactyla; Equidae
Description: lncRNA (ENSECAG00000057461.1)
Source: RNAcentral
CUGAGCCUGUCCAUGGGAUGCACAGUGCCUACAGGAGCCCACAAGGACAGUGACAUCAGAAAUGACAUCACAAGAAAGCCCUCCAAAGGGAGAAAAGGGAGGAGCAAAACAUCUGUUCUCUUCCCCAAAGGCCAGAGCCUUGAGUAGGGAGAUGCUCUGUCUUGUGCUGCCUGAGUCAGCCAGGGGCACCCAGCUCCUCUGCUGUGUGGCCCUCCGUCUCCUGGAAGCUGGAAUCAGGCAUCGAGAAGUGCAGUCCCAGAAAUAGGGAAGCCUCACACUGAGAUAUGACCUACAGAUGGAACAGCAGUGUGCACAGGACACAUGAAUGCUGGGGCUAGAAUCACUCAGAGCCCGAGACAUAGGAUCACAGGGACAAGGAAGAGGGUGACUCAGAUGUCACCAGACUCAAAACCAUGACUGCAUGUACUGGUAUCGACAAGACCUGGGACAUGGUCUGAAGUUAAUCCAUUAUUCAUCUGGGAUAGGAAGCACUGAC